UACGGAGGGAGCUAGCGUUGUUCGGAUAUACUGGGCGUAAAGCGCACGUAGGCGGCGCCGUAAGUCAGGGGUGAAAUCCCGGAGCUCAACUCCGGAACUGCCCUUGAAACUGCAGUGCUAGAAUCUUGGAGAGGCGAGUGGAAUUCCGAGUGUAGAGGUGAAAUUCGUAGAUAUUCGGAAGAACACAGUGGCGAAGGCGACUCGCUGGACAAGUAUUGACGCUGAGGUGCGAAAGCGUGGGGAGCAAACAGG
This 252-nucleotide ribosomal RNA is filed under the name uncultured bacterium. RNAcentral's name for it is "partial 16S ribosomal RNA". It matches the Rfam family "Bacterial small subunit ribosomal RNA", at positions 524 to 776 of the family's 1533-position model. The record is from RNAcentral.